This is a non-coding RNA of Paramuricea clavata, 202 nucleotides long. Lineage: Eukaryota; Metazoa; Cnidaria; Anthozoa; Malacalcyonacea; Plexauridae. The record is from the annotation of a GenBank genome assembly.
UUUUUUUUAUACACCCUGUAUAUGUAGAGAUGUUAUAAAAUCAGGCAAAGACAAGAUUUGGUUCGAUGAUGUUGACCCAGAUGAUCUUGAGAAAGUCACCGGCGUAAAACAGAUGAAACUUUCUGAAGACGACGAUGUACAUACGCAUACAUGUAAUGAAAUUCGGAAGCAUGAAGUGACGGAGCAGGAACCAAGGUAUACA